Octodon degus (degu) is the source of this 579-nucleotide long non-coding RNA. RefSeq lists it as uncharacterized. Lineage: Eukaryota; Metazoa; Chordata; Mammalia; Rodentia; Octodontidae. The record is from RefSeq and is a predicted model, not a curated record. The transcript has 2 exons.
CACUUCUAUAAAGCCAGGCCCGCCAGCCCUGGGUGGCUCCUUCAGCCCCUGAGACCUUUAACCCCCCUGUUGUGAGACAAAAAGAAAACUGUGCGCUGGCCGCACCAUCCACCUCCAGGGCUUCCCACCUCCCCAAGCUGAUCCUGUCCCCAGGAAACGCUGAUCCCAGUCCCCACCCAGCCCGGCACUGCCAUCCUCCUCCUGUCGAUGCUGGGCUGUCCUGGGAGUGGGACCCUGCGGUGCGUGACCCUCUGUGUGUGGCUCAGCUCCCUGAGCUGCGUGACCUCGAGGUGCAUCCGUGCUGUGGCAGAUGCCAGGAUUUCCUUUUUUCUCUUUUCUGUUCUGGUGCUAUGGAUGGGACCCACGGGCACAAGCCUAUUGAACUACAUCCCUUGACCUCUAUAUUUUUAUCCAGAGACAGGAUCUUCCUAGACUGCACAAGCUGGUCAAGCUUGAGACCCUCCUACUUGUGCUUCCCAAGAAUGCUGGGAUUACAGUUGUGUGCCAGUCAUUCCUUUUUUUUCCAAAUAAUAAAGCCCAAGAUGUCUGACUGGCCAAGCAGUUCUCUGGCUGCCUAGA